This 315-nucleotide small nuclear RNA is filed under the name Pan troglodytes (chimpanzee). It matches the Rfam family "7SK RNA". Rfam says of the family: 7SK was discovered as an abundant small nuclear RNA in the mid-70s but a possible function has only recently been suggested. Two independent studies have found that 7SK RNA binds the CDK9/cyclin T complex (known as elongation factor P-TEFb). P-TEFb activates transcription by phosphorylating the C-terminal domain of RNA polymerase II. Lineage: Eukaryota; Metazoa; Chordata; Mammalia; Primates; Hominidae. The record is from RNAcentral.
GAUGUGAAGGUGAUCUGGCUGCGACAUGUCACCCCAUUGAUCACCAAGUUUGAUUUGGAUUGAUGUGGCUGGCUAGGCGGGCAUCACUUUCCUCCCUACCACUUCCCAGGCAUCCCUCCUGAAGCUGCAUGUUUGGUCAAAGAGGAUGACCUCCCCUGAUAGAGGAAGACCAUUAUUCCUGUCAAGAGUAGCUUUGCUCCCCUGCAAGAACCCGCAAACAGCUCAAAAAAAAAAAAAAAAAAACCAAAAAAAAACCCAAAACCAAUAAAAGUCUAUAAUGUAAAGGACUCCAGGUUAAGUAAUUUCAUUUCUCUU